Molecule: long non-coding RNA, 1826 nt
Organism: Cygnus olor (mute swan)
Lineage: Eukaryota; Metazoa; Chordata; Aves; Anseriformes; Anatidae
Exons: 3
Source: RefSeq, a predicted model, not a curated record
GAAGGAGGGGGGAGGGAUGGAGGAGGAUGAGGAGGCUGAGCCAGGUCUCUGGAUGGGUAUUGGGAUUAGGCAUUGUAAAGGAUGGAUGGAGCAGGCUGCACGCAGCUGUGUGUCCUCAGAGAGGGCAGACUCUUUCCAUCCCCAGCAUGGCAGAAAACACAUGAUGGAAAAAGUCUUGAAAGAGAGGAAGGAAGGGAUCUGGUUUGGAUCAUUGCUGUGGCGAUGUCUGCAGAAUAAGGUGUUUAUUUUGGAAAGGGCUCUGUUUACACGUCUGUUUUUAUGUGACACACACAUAUGGAGAUGUUUGCUUUGCCGGGACCUCGCAUUCCUCCCCACACACACAACACACACAUCCCAGCUGGGACAAGCGGGGGGUCCCUUCGCUCCCAGGUCCCCACCAGCCAGCCCCCGUCUCUCCCUCAGGCAGCUGGGACAAAGCACAGUCACGCUGCAAAAUGUUUUCAGCCAAAGAGUGUCCAAAGUCUCUCAAAGUGCAGUCCCCACCACCCUGCAUGUCAGAGGACAGAUGUUAUGUCCCUCACAUUUAAGGCACCUCAGUCACAGCGCUGCAGAAGCCCCUUCUUCCUCUCCUGGCCCACGGUCACCCUCUCAUGGUGGCCACAGGUCAGCCGGAGCAUCCCCUCACGUUGGAGCUGCACCAGCACAGAUCCCACUGCAAUUCUUCCUCAUCUCUAUGCUGAGGUGUUGGACAAGCAGGUGAGCUGACUUCCUCUUCUGAACAACUUCUGCCUGUUGUUGGCGGCACCACCAUUCAGCUGGCGGCUGCCAGGCAUGUCUGAGGAGAAAUUCAUGUUUUCGUGGCCUCUUGCCCUACGUGUGGUCCCUCUCUGACACAGUGCCACCAUCCUUUGCCCUUUUACAGCGGUCCCUGUCAGUUUCACCAGGGCUUUAAGACGGGAAAUGCAGCCGGUCACUUGAGGGCAUUGUAGGCCUCUCCAGAACAGAGCCUUGGAGGAAGCUCAGGAAGGGCCUUGCGAGAUUUGUCUCACAACAGAGGAAUACACAAUAAAUCCUCCAGAGGAAAUCGCAACAGACACCUGUACAGAUUGCACAGGUGGAUCUUGAGGUGUGAUAAUGUAAAAAACAGGCAUUUCUUGUUCUGUGUUCUUACGCAGUCACACAGGUACAUGUGUUGCAUGGGUAACACGCAGUCAAAAAGUCAUUUGACUGAAUGCGCAUCUGUCCUACAAAGGCAGUGCGUGUAUGUAUUUAAUGCCACUCAAGCCAGCAAAGUACACAUUAUUUGUCUUCUUCCUUUAUAACAUAGGCUGUUACUAAAAAACAGAGAGGGAGAACUUUCCUCUGACAACCUCCUUUGGCCAGACAAGGCCGUGUGCCAGACCCCGGGUCUGUGCAGAGCCUACAGCCCUACACACCGAUGGUGGCAGAGGACAUGGGCUGCCUCCUGAGAGUCACCUCCUAUCCACAGGUGUGGUUUUGUGGGUUGUAGUGACACACAGGAGUGACAAACUGGGGUUUAGUGGAUUCUGCCUGGGGAAUCCAAACAGCCUCGGACCAUGCAGCAAGCAACCUCAGUCCUUACCUCACUGGCAUUUCCUAUCCUUACACUCCCUAAGGCUGAGAAGUCCAUUUACAAAAGCCAAAGUCCAAACCCACAGAAAUAAUUAGGCACCUCAAGUAGUCCCUAGCUGAGCAGAGGGCACCCACACCCACAGCUGAGGUCCUGAAAACCCUUCUUGGCCUGCCCCGGUCUGACACCAUUAAGACAAUGGCAUGGGCUCUUCUUUGUGGAAGAUCUCAACCCUGUAGCCCUCAGAGAAUCUCCAGCUAAGUGGACAGCGGAA